Molecule: ribosomal RNA, 356 nt
Filed under: uncultured bacterium
Lineage: Bacteria
Description: partial 16S ribosomal RNA
Rfam family: Bacterial small subunit ribosomal RNA
Source: RNAcentral
CCUACGGGAGGCAGCAGUGAGGAAUAUUGGUCAAUGGGCGCGAGCCUGAACCAGCCAAGUAGCGUGAAGGAUGACUGCCCUACGGGUUGUAAACUUCUUUUAUCAAGGAAUAAAGUGAGGCACGUGUGCCUUUUUGUAUGUACUUUAUGAAUAAGGAUCGGCUAACUCCGUGCCAGCAGCCGCGGUAAUACGGAGGAUCCGAGCGUUAGCCGGAGUGAUGGGGUGGAAAGGGAGCGUAGAUGGGUUGUUAAGUCAGUUGUGAAAGUUUGCGGCUCAACCGUAAAAUUGCAAUUGAUAUUGGCAGUCUUGAGUUCAGUUGAGGUAGUCGGCAUUCGUGGUGUAGCGGUGAAAUGCUU